UACGUAGGGGGCGAGCGUUGCUCGGAAUUACUGGGCGUAAAGGGAGUGCAGGCGGCCGGUUAAGUCGAAGAUGAAAUCCCGAGGCUCAACUUCGGAACGGUCUUCGAUACUGAUCGGCUUGAGGCUAAUUGAGGAGAGCGGAAUUCCCGGUGGAGCGGUGAAAUGCGUAGAUAUCGGGAGGAACACCAGAGGCGAAGGCGGCUCUCUAAACUAGUCCUGACGCUGAGACUCGAAAGCUAGGGGAGCAAACGGG
RNAcentral lists this ribosomal RNA (253 nucleotides) under uncultured bacterium. Its description in RNAcentral is "partial 16S ribosomal RNA". It matches the Rfam family "Bacterial small subunit ribosomal RNA", at positions 524 to 776 of the family's 1533-position model. The record is from RNAcentral.